RNAcentral lists this ribosomal RNA (973 nucleotides) under uncultured archaeon. RNAcentral's name for it is "bacterial SSU rRNA". It matches the Rfam family "Archaeal small subunit ribosomal RNA", at positions 85 to 1058 of the family's 1478-position model. The record is from RNAcentral.
ACGGCUCAGUAACACGUGGAGAACUUGCCCUAGGCUGGAGGAUAAUCUCGGGAAACUGAGGAUAAUACUCCGUAGUCCAUCCGUCCUGGAACGGUGGAUGGACAAUAGCUCCGGCGGCCUAGGAUAGCUCUGCGGCCUAUCAGGUUGUAGCGAGGGUAACGUCCUCGCUAGCCUACGACGGGUAUGGGUGUUGGGAGACAUCGCCCAGAGAUGGAUUCUGAGACACGAAUCCAGGCCCUACGGGGCGCAGCAGGCGCGAAAACUGCACAAUGUGGGAAACCACGAUGCGGGAAACCCAAGUGCCAGCACUAUGUGUUGGCUGUCCUCCAGUGGUCGUAACUGGGGAAGAAAGUGCUGGGUAAGACGGGUGCCAGCCGCCGCGGUAAUACCCGCAGCACAAGUGGUGGUCAUUAUUAUUGGGCCUAAAGCGUCCGUAGCUGGCCUGUUAGAUGCCUGGGUAAAUCGAUGCGCUCAACGCAUCGAAUUCCGGGUAGACCGGCAGGCUCGAGACCGGGAGAGGCGUGAGCUACUCGAGGGGUAGGGGUAAAAUCCUGUAAUCCUUCGGGGAGGACCAGUGGCGAACGCGUCACGCUAGAACGGCUCUGACAGUGAGGGACGAAGCCCUGGGGCGCAAACCGGAUUAGAUACCCGGGUAGUCCAGGGUGUAAACGCUGCAGACUUGGUGUCGGUGAUCCUACGAGGGUUGCCGGUGCCGGAGAGAAGUUGUUGAGUCUGCCGCCUGGGGAGUACGGUCGCAAGACUGAAACUUAAAGGAAUUGGCGGGGGAGCACCGCAACGCGUGGAGUGUGCGGUUUAAUUGGAUUCAACGCCGGAAAACUCACCUGGGGAGACUGCCGAAUGUGACUCCGUCUGAAGGACGUUGUCGAAUACAGGUAGAGAGGUGGUGCAUGGCCGUCGUCAGCUCGUACCGUAAGGCGUUCUGUUAAGUCAGAUAACGAGCGAGACCCCUACC